UUAUCCCUGGGCUUAGUGGAAUUCAAAUACCUGACCAUAGGACACCAAGGGCUUUGGGACCUGAAAGGCACAUCAUGUCCUGGUGACAUCUGAGUUACCUGGGGCAUGCACAGCCAGCCUCCAGCAUCCCAGGGAGAGCUGUGUAUGGGGUCAGGCUCAAGCAGGUCCCAGGGCACCAGUGACCCAAUGGGUGACUCAGACUCCCAUGGCACCUGCUCCUUCUGUUUCUCCCUCCACCAUAUAUAUGAGCUCAUGGGAAACACUGUGUGACCUCUUACAGAGGAGGAAAGUGCAUGGACUUCCAGUUUCUAGAACUGUGAUACAAUAAACUCCUGUUGCUUAUCUACUCCUCUACAGUAUUUUGUCAUGGCAGCCCUAGCAAACUACUACAGGGACUGUGAGGGUUAAGAUGACACCAAACAUCAAAUGCCACUCCCUGUUCCAACACUGAGACCAUUCCACAGCCUCUGAAUGACAAGACAGGCCUUCAAAAUCAAGACCACCUGGCUAGAUUCUGGAUAUUAGCCUUCUGUCAGAUGGAUAGAUUAAAGCUUGCAAGCUGAAACUCAACAACUUAUGUAAACUUCUGGAGAAAUCACAGCAACUUACAUAUAAACAACCCUUGUGCCUGCUGAUGUGUGGACUACAGAAAAGGUACACAUGAACACUGUAUUCAGACUGCAAUUUAGAGAAAUGUGUCAGAUUACCACUGCAAUUGGAAGAUGCUUCAGAAACUCUAGAAAACCUAGUCUAUAGACUGCUCCAGACAUUACAGGGUUCACUCUCAAGCUCUGGCUCAAUAAAACUCAAUUGGUCAAGACCCUUGCCUCAGUCAGUCUUUCUGGAUAUCCACCAUGAGUCCUGCAAAGCCCUUCAGUAAUCUAUUGCCUGCCUAGGUGAUGUGUACCCAGGUGAGUCAGGUCUUCAUGAGUCAAACACUCGUCUUCCUUUUCUGUCUUUCCCAACCCUACCACUCAGUGCUGUGUGCUCUGAUCUGACCCCAGCUCCCAGGUUGUUUGUAUUGGUCUAAGAAAGCAAGACCAGGAGGGGCAGGUUGAGAAGGAAGUAAGAGGCCAACAGCCAUGGAAAGUGGCACGUGGGGCUGUCAUUCCUCAAAACCACAUACCCUGGGUGCAUUUUGUGAAUUUUUCUGGAUUCAGAAUCUUUUCCCUGUGUGUCUAUCUAGAAAAUCACCCUCCUCCUACUUUCCUCUCAUUACACUUUCUGUUUCUGGUGCAAUCGUUUAUGUCCAGAGAAUGGCCAUGCAAAUAGUUGACAAUAGAAUAAAAAAUGACUUUUUGUGAGAUUUGGAACCUGGCCUUUCUUUUUUCCAAAAGAGAUUGAGGUUUCUAAAAGCUAGCUUUUAUGCAGGGCUGUGCAGUUGUGAGUGUAGUUUUAGGGAACAGGUGCAUAAGUGAAGGGUGAGACAGAAAACAAAAUGCUGGCUGUUUGUCAAAUCCUGAAAAUAAUUUUUGAAGGUGGAUGUCAUUCAGGAGACCUUGUAAAUCUUAGAGUGUCCUCUUACCAGAUGAAGUGGAGGAUGAGGUUGAAUUAUGGAGUUAGGUGACAGUGGGUACAUACUUCUCUGCCUCAGUUUUUUUUUUUAAUCUGUAAAAAUGGGGAUGGAGGCACUUGGGAUUUUUUGUGAGGAGUGUAGUUACCUGGAAAGCUCUUACGAUAGUGCCUCGUGCAUAGUGAGUGCUGCAUUAGUGUGAGCUAUUAUAAUUAUGGGAAUAGACAAAGGUGCCACCCUGGCCAUCCAGAGUGGGGAGGUAUUUUCCAGUCAGGGUCCAGGCAGGCCAGCUGGAGAUGAAGCUGAUUAGUGGGGAAGCUUAACUUCCAGGAGUGGAAGAAUUUAGGAGGAGUAAACAGAAUGCACAACAUUCUGUAAACAUGCCUUUACCCAACAGUAGGAAUACUCAGAGUGGGUGUGUCUUCCGUGGCAAUCAUUAUCUCCUGGGAAUCUAAGAAUGUGUCCUAGAGUCAAAUGGCUUUGAUGUAAGCCAAACCCAGAAAUGGACUUCAGGGCUGCCUGGCACAUAGCAUUCAUUCAUCUUGAAAAAGGAAAGCAUUCAUCUUGCUAAAGGAAUCCCCUCUUCUGGCCCAGGCCAUUAUUUUUGUUUUUGUACUAUCCUAAUUUUUAAGAUGUAAGGAGAAAGACC
This 2162-nucleotide long non-coding RNA is filed under the name Homo sapiens (human). Its description in RNAcentral is "HSALNT0398098". The record is from RNAcentral. Lineage: Eukaryota; Metazoa; Chordata; Mammalia; Primates; Hominidae.